AGACGGAGGGUGCAAGCGUUAAUCGGAAUUACUGGGCGUAAAGCGCUCGUAGGCGGCCUGUUAAGUCGGAUGUGAAAGCCCCGGGCUCAACCUGGGAACUGCAUUCGAAACUGGCAGGCUAGAGUAUAGUAGAGGCAAGUGGAAUUCCGGGUGUAGCGGUGAAAUGCGUAGAUAUCCGGAGGAACAUCAGUGGCGAAGGCGACUUGCUGGACUAAUACUGACGCUGAGGAGCGAAAGCGUGGGGGGCAAACGGGAUCAGAAACCCCAGUAGUCC
RNAcentral lists this ribosomal RNA (274 nucleotides) under uncultured bacterium. Its description in RNAcentral is "partial 16S ribosomal RNA". It matches the Rfam family "Bacterial small subunit ribosomal RNA", at positions 523 to 796 of the family's 1533-position model. The record is from RNAcentral.